This is a long non-coding RNA of Gastrolobium bilobum, 547 nucleotides long. RefSeq lists it as uncharacterized. The transcript has 3 exons. The record is from RefSeq and is a predicted model, not a curated record. Lineage: Eukaryota; Viridiplantae; Streptophyta; Magnoliopsida; Fabales; Fabaceae.
CAGAUACAUGCCCUGAUGGACACACUAAAUACUAACUUUUGGGCUUCUUCAAUACAAGGUGUUGCUUUGCCCAAGUUUGUAUUUAAAUCAUUUUGGGUGACACAAAAAGUCAGAAACAUUUUGUGAGGAUGAAUAGAAAAUUUGGAGGUGGAAGGCAGCCGACUGGGACUCCUUCACUGGCUUGGUCCUGUGUGGUCGUUAUCUUUUCUCUUCUUGCGGGUGCCUCUGUUGUCCACAAUAUCUAUAAGCCUAAUCUUACAUUGCCUCCAGCUGAUGGAGUUGAUGGGACCAAGCAGAAACUAGAUGACAAAGAAUGACCAUCUCCCCGUUUGUGAAUUCUUUUUUUAUUAUCAUGAAGAUGGCCUAGUUUUAAGGCCUAAAAUUUACUAUGUCUGCAAGUAAGCCUGAGAUACAGAGGAUUGUUCUCUUCAUAUUGUUACUUUAUAUUAUAUUAGUUCGGAUGGAGAAUUUUAAUUCUUUUUUUGGAAUUUUGUUUGUAAGGACUGAUGUGUUAGGGAUCAGCACUCUUGUGACCAGGGAAAAAUAA